CAGCCGCCACGGGAAUACGGAGGGUGCAAGCGUUAUCCGGAUUUAUUGGGUUUAAAGGGUCCGUAGGCGGAUCUGUAAGUCAGUGGUGAAAUCUCACAGCUUAACUGUGAAACUGCCAUUGAUACUGCAGGUCUUGAGUAAAUUUGAAGUGGCUGGAAUAAGUAGUGUAGCGGUGAAAUGCAUAGAUAUUACUUAGAACACCAAUUGCGAAGGCAGGUCACUAAGAUUUAACUGACGCUGAUGGACGAAAGCGUGGGGAGCGAACAGGAUUAGAUACCCGUGUAGUCCCUGUCUCUUAUCC
Molecule: ribosomal RNA, 301 nt
Filed under: uncultured bacterium
Lineage: Bacteria
Description: partial 16S ribosomal RNA
Rfam family: Bacterial small subunit ribosomal RNA
Source: RNAcentral